AGUUCUCUAAGGUCUUUUCUAGCUCGGGCGUGCUUUGCGUCUGAGUCAACCAUUUUGUGAUUUAAUGACUUCCAAAUGUCUGCUUAGGAGGGCUUGCUUUUGCACCAGUGGUUGGCACUGAGCACCACCCCACGCUGACCCAAGGACACCUGCUGGACCCCGACGACGGGACUCAGUGCCCUGCUCUUGCUGGAAGGCUGGCUCUUCAUUCGAAUCCAAUCCAAGAAGGUCCGAGGCUGAGAGACAAUGCAGGUUCAGACUCUGGUGGGAGAGGCAGGCCUGGGCAACAAGGUGCACUGCGUGGUCUUCUCCUCACUCCCCUUGGAGGUAGAAAAGUAAGCCCUAUCACUGUUAAUCCAUCAUCACUGGAAGUAGAAGGGUAAGUACUCUUAUUUCUUGACUUGGAUUAUUCUAGAAAUAUAGACUUAAAUAAGUGGCAGAAAUUUGCUUGGUUGAUUUCCCUGAUGUUUACUGCAAAUAUUACCAAAAUACAGAAGUUAUGACAAAGAAAAUAAUCACUGUUAAUAUUUUGUCAUUUGUCUUUGCAACUUUGGUCUAUACUUGGUGACACU
This 572-nucleotide long non-coding RNA is filed under the name Felis catus (domestic cat). RNAcentral's name for it is "lncRNA (ENSFCAG00000040334.2)". The record is from RNAcentral. Lineage: Eukaryota; Metazoa; Chordata; Mammalia; Carnivora; Felidae.